RNAcentral lists this transfer RNA (72 nucleotides) under Heterocephalus glaber (naked mole-rat). It matches the Rfam family "tRNA". From Rfam's summary of the family: Transfer RNA (tRNA) molecules are approximately 80 nucleotides in length. Their secondary structure includes four short double-helical elements and three loops (D, anti-codon, and T loops). The record is from Rfam by way of RNAcentral. Lineage: Eukaryota; Metazoa; Chordata; Mammalia; Rodentia; Bathyergidae.
GGUGCUGUAGCUCAGUGGUAGGGUGCUUGCCUAGCAUGUGCAAGACCCUGGGUUUGAACCCCAGCACUGCCA